UGGCUUCAGGAAGAAUAGAGGCUCUGUCAACCAGAUUUUCAUGCUGUGUAACAUCAUGGAGCAGUGCACAGAGUGGUUCGCGUUGUUACGUACCCUGUAACUGGGUUGCCAAACCAGCAGAAAUCGACCACUUAGUUGGAGUCUGGAUUAUUGGAACUAAGAAAGUUUUAUUAAAGAAGUGUCUGUUGGUUCUGGUACAUCCGAAUGAGGACACACUUUGAUUCCUGGUGAGUGGGUCCUGGUCAAGGAACUGUGUAAGGAACCCCUGGCAGCGUGUUUAGAAGGUCCUUACCAAGUAUUGUUAAUUACUAAUUCAGCAGUUAACGUAGAAGUCAAAUGUAAGUGAAUACACGCCAGCUACUGCAAAUGAGCUGAAGUAACUCCAGAUUGAAACAAAUACUGUUUGUGGGAAGACUUCAAACACAAAUAUAAUUAUUGGACAUUAUGACAAUGAAUCUGCAUUUUUUGUGUUUGUUUAAAAGCGAUUACUCUGAAUUUUCAGAAGUGAUUCUGCCACAGUCCUUAUAGAAUCAAAAGGGGGGACUGCAGGAAACCAGUGUUUUUUAUAACACUUUUUAUAAAGUUUGUACUCUUAAAUGAAGUCAUGCAUUUGUCACAGUGCGUGGUGGUUCACCCUAUCCACUGGCACAAAGCGGUAUAGCAGUUAAAGAAACGGUUUAUCACCUUAACAGCAGGAAUUCUGCAGAUGCUGGAAAUUCAAGCAACACACAUCAAAGUUGCUGGUGAACAUAGCAGGCCAGGCAGCAUCUCUAGGAAGAAGUACAGUCGAUGU
Long non-coding RNA from Mobula hypostoma (lesser devil ray), 793 nucleotides. RefSeq lists it as uncharacterized. The record is from RefSeq and is a predicted model, not a curated record. The transcript is spliced from 3 exons. Lineage: Eukaryota; Metazoa; Chordata; Chondrichthyes; Myliobatiformes; Myliobatidae.